GACGAACGCUGGCGGCGUGCCUAAUACAUGCAAGUUGAGCGCUGAAGGAUGGUACUUGUACCAACUGGAUGAGCAGCGAACGGGUGAGUAACGCGUGGGGAAUCUGCCUUUGAGCGGGGGACAACAUUUGGAAACGAAUGCUAAUACCGCAUAAAACCUUUAAACACAAGUUUUAAGUUUGAAAGAUGCAAUUGCCUCACUCAAAGACGAUCCCGCGUUGUAUUAGCUAGGUGGUGAGGUAAAGGCCCACCAAGGCGAUGAUACAUAGCCGACCUGAGAGGGUGAUCGGCCACAUUGGGACUGGAGAACGGCCCAAAAUCCUACGGGGGGCAGCAGUAGGGAAUCUUCGGCAAUGGACGAAAGUCUGACCGAGCAACGCCGCGUGAGUGAAGGAGGGUUUCGGAGCGGAAAACUCUGUUGGUAGGGAAGAAAGUUGGUGAGAGUGGAAAGCUCAUCAAGUGACGGUAACUACCCAGAAAGGGACGGCUAACUACGUG
RNAcentral lists this ribosomal RNA (497 nucleotides) under uncultured bacterium. RNAcentral describes it as "partial 16S ribosomal RNA". It matches the Rfam family "Bacterial small subunit ribosomal RNA", at positions 28 to 507 of the family's 1533-position model. The record is from RNAcentral.